This 515-nucleotide ribosomal RNA is filed under the name uncultured bacterium. RNAcentral describes it as "bacterial SSU rRNA". It matches the Rfam family "Bacterial small subunit ribosomal RNA", at positions 501 to 1017 of the family's 1533-position model. The record is from RNAcentral.
CUACGUGCCAGCAGCCGCGGUAAUACGGAGGGUGCGAGCGUUAAUCGGAAUAACUGGGCGUAAAGGGCACGCAGGCGGACUUUUAAGUGAGGUGUGAAAUCCCCGGGCUUAACCUGGGAAUUGCAUUUCAGACUGGGUAGCUAGAGUACUUUAGGGAGGGGUAGAAUUCCACGUGUAGCGGUGAAAUGCGUAGAGAUGUGGAGGAAUACCGAAGGCGAAGGCAGCCCCUUGGGAAUGUACUGACGCUCAUGUGCGAAAGCGUGGGGAGCAAACAGGAUUAGAUACCCUGGUAGUCCACGCUGUAAACGCUGUCGAUUUGGGGAUUGGGCUUUAAGCUUGGUGCCCGUAGCUAACGUGAUAAAUCGACCGCCUGGGGAGUACGGCCGCAAGGUUAAAACUCAAAUGAAUUGACGGGGGCCCGCACAAGCGGUGGAGCAUGUGGUUUAAUUCGAUGCAACGCGAAGAACCUUACCUACUCUUGACAUCCAUGGAAUUCUGUAGAGAUACGGGAGUGC